AGGAGCCGUAUGAGGUGAAAAUCUCAUGUAGGGUUCUGCAGAGUGGCAUUAAGGGUGACUUAUCUGUCAACUUUUCCACUAUCACCCCCAAAAAACCAAACUCUACCUUAC
This is a non-coding RNA of Nicotiana sylvestris (wood tobacco), 111 nucleotides long. The record is from Rfam. NCBI's taxonomy places the organism in Eukaryota, Viridiplantae, Streptophyta, Magnoliopsida, Solanales, Solanaceae.